RNAcentral lists this ribosomal RNA (898 nucleotides) under Hyalinea balthica. RNAcentral's name for it is "eukaryotic LSU rRNA". It matches the Rfam family "Eukaryotic large subunit ribosomal RNA", at positions 656 to 1368 of the family's 3401-position model. Lineage: Eukaryota; Foraminifera; Rotaliida; Planulinidae. The record is from RNAcentral.
GAAACACGGACCAAGGAGUUCAACUGGAUUGCAAGUCGUAGAGUUAAUCACAAAACUCACUUACGGCAAAGCGAAAGCAAAAUCGUGCCAACUAUUUUAAACAUAGUGCAGCACAGGCUGAUUAUGGAUAUGCUCAGAAUUUAUUGUGAGUAUACGUUAUACAUUUUAGUGUGACGAUUAAUCAAGCUAUAGAGCACUUUAGUUGAGACCCGAAAGAUGGUGAACUAUGCUCGGACAUGGUGAAGCCAGGUGAAAACUUGGUGGAAGCUUGCGUUGUGCGGAACUGACGUGCAAAUCGUUGCCGCCUGACCUGAGUAUAGGGGCGAAAGACUCAUCGAACCAUCUAGUAGCUGGUUCCCUCCGAAGUUUCCCUUAGGAUAGCUCGAAUUUAUCACAUUCUUACAUUAAAAAUUAUAUACACAAAAAAUACACUGAUAUUAGACUACUUCACGUAAUGCAUAUUACAAUCUUUGCGUAGCAGUUUAAACAGUAAUUUAUUUUUAACUUACACACAAAAAAAAUAAUGCGUUGUUUUGCUGCGCUAUACGCGCUCUGUUUGUAUGAAAGACUCAUAACGUGGUAUCAUAUCAUAGUGUAGUAUACUCUUAAUAAUUUCUUAUUUUUAGAGUAACACAAGGGUAAAGCAAUGAGACGCGGUAUCUGUGGGUCUUAUUUAAAUGACCUCGGCCUUCUCUCAAACUUUAAAUCUGUGCGAUUACGUGUGCUUUCUUUGAAAAUACUCAACUCGUUUAGUAUUGUGAAGUCACGUUUAUUAUUGUAUCAAAAAUUCGUAGUGGGCCAUUUCUGGUAAGCAGAACUGGCGAUGAGGGAUUCAACCUGACGUUCUCAAGAUAAGCCGGGCUUAAUCAUAUCUGCUCCAACCUUCCGAUAAACGCGA